CAAGAAGCGUUUGGUGGCCCUGGUCAGAAUAGAUUUUGGUGAAAUUGUGAGUGUAGAAGUCUGAUGGCAGAUAAAGAGAAAAGUCAGAAAGCCGAGACAAUGAUUUCACGCUAGUGUUCCAGCACCUGCCUUCAAAGGGAAGGAGAAAGACAGGAAUGUAUUCAGAGAGGGGUGCAGAGCUGUUUUAAGAUGGAGAGAUGUGAGCAUGCUUGCAGGCAUCUAGAGGGUGUCAGAAGGAGGAUAUCAGUAAAGAAUAAUCUGAUAAUUUUAAAAUGCUGGAGAGAAAAGAGAUGACUAAUGCUCCUUCAGGUGGUGGAAGACGAUUGCACCAGGAGAAAGAAGAGUUGGAUGGGAAGCAAGACUGCUGCUGGGAGGAGAGAAGAGGAAGUGAGGUUGGGGCCAACAGAGUAAACAUGGUGUCAGCCAACAUGACUAUUGCCUUGGAGUUUGUCCUUUUGGAAUGCUGCCCUUGCUGUGAAGAGCGA
This 485-nucleotide long non-coding RNA is filed under the name Equus asinus (donkey). Its description in RNAcentral is "lncRNA (ENSEASG00005037569.1)". The record is from RNAcentral. Lineage: Eukaryota; Metazoa; Chordata; Mammalia; Perissodactyla; Equidae.